RNAcentral lists this ribosomal RNA (1373 nucleotides) under Fructobacillus sp. RNAcentral's name for it is "bacterial SSU rRNA". Lineage: Bacteria; Bacillati; Bacillota; Bacilli; Lactobacillales; Lactobacillaceae. The record is from RNAcentral.
UGCACUUUCCAAGUAAGUGGCGAACGGGUGAGUAACACGUGAAUAACCUACCUCAAAGUCUGGGAUAACCAUUGGAAACAGUGACUAAUACCGGAUAAAACCCAAGUGCACAUGCACUAAGGUUAAAAGCUGCGUUUGCAGCGCUUUAAGAUGGAUUCGCGGUGCAUUAGUUAGUUGGUGAGGUAAAGGCUCACCAAGACGAUGAUGCAUAGCCGAGUUGAGAGACUGACCGGCCACAUUGGGACUGAGACACGGCCCAAACUCCUACGGGAGGCUGCAGUAGGGAAUCUUCCACAAUGGGCGCAAGCCUGAUGGAGCAACGCCGCGUGUGUGAUGAAGGCUUUCGGGUCGUAAAGCACUGUUGUAUGGGAAGAACGGGUUUAAGAGGAAAUGCUUAGACAGUGACGGUACCAUACCAGAAAGGGACGGCUAAAUACGUGCCAGCAGCCGCGGUAAUACGUAUGUCCCGAGCGUUAUCCGGAUUUAUUGGGCGUAAAGCGAGCGCAGACGGUUGCUUAAGUCUGAAGUGAAAGCCCACAGCUCAACUGUGGAAUGGCUUUGGAAACUGGGCAACUUGAGUACAGUAGAGGUAAGUGGAACUCCAUGUGUAGCGGUGGAAUGCGUAGAUAUAUGGAAGAACACCAGUGGCGAAAGGCGGGYUUAMUGGGAYUGCAAACUGACGGUUGAGGGCUCGAAAAGUGUGGGGUAGCAAACCRGGAUUAAGAUAACCCUGGGUAGUUCCACACCGGUAAACGAUGGAUACUAGUUGUUAGAGGGUUUCCGCCCUUUAGUGACGAAGCAAACGSAUUAAGUAUCCCGCCUGGGGAGUACGACCGCAAGGUUGAAACUCAAAGGAAUUGACGGGGACCCGCACAAGCGGUGGAGCAUGUGGUUUAAUUCGAAGCAACGCGAAGAACCUUACCAGGUCUUGACAUCCUUUGAAGGUACUAGAGAUAGUACUGUCUUCUUCGGAAGCAAAGUGACAGGUGGUGCAUGGCCGUCGUCAGCUCGUGUCGUGAGAUGUUGGGUUAAGUCCCGCAACGAGCGCAACCCUUAUGUUUAGUUGCCAGCAUUCAGUUGGGCACUCUAGACAGACUGCCGGUGACAAACCGGAGGAAGGCGGGGACGACGUCAGGUCAUCAUGCCCCUUAUGACCUGGGCUACACACGUGCUACAAUGGCGUAUACAACGAGCAGCAAACCUGUGAAGGCAAGCGAAUCUCUUAAAGUACGUCUCAGUUCGGAUUGUAGUCUGCAACUCGACUACAUGAAGUCGGAAUCGCUAGUAAUCGCGGAUCAGCAUGCCGCGGUGAAUACGUUCCCGGGUCUUGUACACACCGCCCGUCACACCAUGGGAGUUGGUAAUGCCCAAAG